AAUUGUUACAGCUCUUUUAGAAUUUAUGUAGCAGGUUUUCUGGUUUUCACCGGAAACCAAC
Molecule: small nuclear RNA, 61 nt
Filed under: Piliocolobus tephrosceles (Ugandan red Colobus)
Lineage: Eukaryota; Metazoa; Chordata; Mammalia; Primates; Cercopithecidae
Description: U7 small nuclear RNA (ENSPTEG00000029516.1)
Rfam family: U7 small nuclear RNA
About the family: Animal histone pre-mRNAs are spliced by a different mechanism than nuclear pre-mRNAs and self-splicing introns. This processing involves the U7 snRNP, which contains only one RNA species: U7. The 5' end of U7 RNA is thought to base-pair to a conserved spacer element downstream of the cleavage site in histone pre-mRNA.
Source: Rfam by way of RNAcentral